AAAGGGUCCGCAGGCGGAUGUAUAAGUCAGUGGUGAAAUCCUAUCGCUUAACGAUAGAACUGCCAUUGAUACUGUACGUCUUGAAUUCGGUCGAAGUGGGCGGAAUGUGUAGUGUAGCGGUGAAAUGCAUAGAUAUUACACAGAACACCGAUAGCGAAGGCAGCUCACUAGGCCUGGAUUGACGCUCAGGGACGAAAGCGUGGGGAUCAAACAGGAUUAGAUACCCUUGU
Molecule: ribosomal RNA, 230 nt
Filed under: uncultured bacterium
Lineage: Bacteria
Description: partial 16S ribosomal RNA
Rfam family: Bacterial small subunit ribosomal RNA
Source: RNAcentral